Long non-coding RNA from Pezoporus occidentalis (night parrot), 7347 nucleotides. RefSeq lists it as uncharacterized. The transcript has 6 exons. The record is from RefSeq and is a predicted model, not a curated record. NCBI's taxonomy places the organism in Eukaryota, Metazoa, Chordata, Aves, Psittaciformes, Psittacidae.
CCCGGGCCCGCCAAAUGGCGAGUAGGGGGCAGAGGUUUGAAGCCUCAAUUAAAAUUAAUCUGGGAAGGCAAUAAUAAUGAAGGAAAUUAAGGCGUUAUAUAAACAUAUGUAUGUACUGCACUAUUAUUACUUCUUGGUGGCUAUUAGUGCUCACUGCAGGGAUGUCCUGCUGUCUGGAAAUCGGCUUUGCCAGCAAGGAAACCUGAGGAAAAUGCUACCCUAGUUAAUGAUGCUGUAGCUUUUAGGAGAAGCUUACAAUUAAAUAGAUACAGUUUUUUCUUUCAAAAUAUGCUCUUGAAUAAAUUAAUUUGCAUCCAGAAAGGGCAUCUGCUUUCCUUGGCUCAGAUAUUGUUCUAAAAGUGUUUAGGUAUGCGGCUCAUGCAGAGACUGGUGCCUAAUAUCUGAGCAGUUCUGAAGAUCUGUCCUGGGUUGUUUCAGGUUAAACCAGCAAUACUGUGUUAAUUCAGAAUUUUAAACACAGAACUCUGCAGGGUCAGUAACCCUGGGAGAGGGAAAGGAUGGGCACACAGACACCAGAGCCCAUGAGGUGAAGAGCUAAAUGGCCUGGUGUUUAGUAACACCUAGCAGCUAACACUAAACCUUCUCUUUUAUACUUGAGGGAGAAACUGGAAACACUGGACCCGUCUCUGGGUUUGUUGGAGGUCACUUGCUGAGUUAUCUCCAAUUCACAGUUCAUUAGAAGGUAUGUAACUCCUCAGUGAUGUUGUUAUUUAACAGAUUUGUACUUCAUGGUCAAAUGCAUUAAAAGAAGAAAAAGAAAUGGGGGAGGAAAAGAAAAAAUGUAAUUUGUGGAGCUGCCAACUUGCAUUUGCCUGAUUUACUUCAGCAGUGGAGGAGAGGAAGAAUUCCAAACACGUCAUCCUGAUUUCACAAGUCUGCAGAGGUCUCCAAAGUGGACUUGUCCAUCUGUGUUAGGUAGUAAAUAGCACUCUACUUUUGUUACAUGCAAAUGCCUCUGUAUGUGCACUCCCUCUCUGUAUACAAGUAAUCUGUAGAUCCUAUCUGUCUAGACAUGUGUGCAUACACUUUCUGGACUUAAGCCACUGAACACUAAUUAUGUAUAAAGUAUCUAAGUGUUCACACAGGCAUACAAGACACAAAGAAAUCUAGUUAUUUUUCUUUUGAAAUAAUACAAACAGUAAAUAAUAGUUGAGCAAAUAAAACUUGCAGUUCAAUUUUUGUUUCAGUUCACAAUGCUAUUACAUGGCCCUUGAAAACUGUGGAGUAAGAAUGCAAUGAUAAAUAAAAGACAAUCCAUCUUGUUUUCAUUAAGGGACUAGUUUCUUACUACACUGCUGAAAGAGAUGUCUUGAUUUGCAUUUGGAUAUAAAGAUUCCUUAUUCUCAAAAUAAACUCAGUGUAAUAAUUGGGGUUGUAAUUUUUAUUGAAGGUGAGUGCUGGCUUCCAGUUCUCAGAUGUUAAUAUUAAUUUUGAUCUUAAGAAAAAUUGCUAUGCUAAUUAUCAAUAUAUAACUUUUUACAUUUUUAGGAGCAUUUCUUAAUGAAUGUUGGAGAGAAUGACUUUCUGUAACUUCCUUGCAUUGCACUGGAAUUCCAUGGUAGAUGUAGCAGUAGCAUUCAGUUCCCUAGACAGCAUCCAUCCACCUUAAUCAUGAAACUGUCUCUUCUUUCAUUUUCCUUUUCUAUUAAUUAGAGUUUUGGUUGUUUGGUGGUUUUGUUUUUUUUUUUUUUUUUUUUUGGUUGUUGUUUGGGUUUUGUUUUGUUUUUAAUUUCUGGAACAAAUUAAAGCAGAGUGCUAUAAACAAAUGACUUCUUAAUUAAUAACCCUGAUUUAGUUCCAGUGCAUAGCUUGUAUUUUGUUGUAUAUGAAACAUAGUGGCCAAAUACUGUAUAAUGCAGUACAACACUGGAUUAAGAGUAUUUUUAGGCAUAGGUGGAUUUUGUGAUCCUACCACUUGAAGUCAUGUUAUAAUGCCUGUCUUCUACAUCAUAGAAGCUCUUGCUACUUUGAAUGUUCCUUGCAUCACAAAGUUGUAGUUCAGCCUAUGUUCCUCUGCCACUCUCUCAUCCUUCCUCAGUGGCUGUAAUUCUGUAAUUGCUUGAUCUGACCAACAGCAUUUGAAGUCAAAAUGAAUGACAUCUUUAUCUCACAUUUCCUUGAACGUACGAUAGUUUUCUCUGUUACAGCAGAUAAUUGUUAUUGUAUUUGCAGUAGUUCCUUGUAUGUAUUUAAGCACUGGAAAUGUUUUUGUAUUUCUAGAGUCCUGUGUGGUUGGCAAAAACUGACAGUUGCAGUUAUAAUUGUAGCACAGGUGCAGAACUUACCUUCUCUCUAAUGUUCUUCCAAAACAGAAAAAAAAUUGCAUAUGAACAUUAUUAAUUCACUAAAUAUUCAGUGACAGUACUUACCUCAUAGUUAUAGACAUUCCUCCCCAAAAUCUAUUUUUAUUGUGUUCACCCAUCCUGAAGUGGCAAAAGGCAGGAGGGAAGGGAAAAGGAGGCUUUGCUUGCUCAAAUCUUGACUUCAAAAACAAUGAAGAAAAUAACCCUAGUGUCUGGGUUUCCAAACCAAGGCACCAGGACAGCCAGCUGGUGGUAAUUUCUAAGCAGCUGUAGUGGAUGUUGUUCACAGUUCUCUGCUUUGACAGUUUUUAUGCUUUGUUGUUCAAUUUUGUGCAUGAAUCCACUGGCAUCAUCUUCAUUGUGGGAGAGCAUUUCCCUUUCUAAAGAGUUUCUGUGGAAUCUCCUGCAGCACACAGAAAUUGUGCUGUACCUUUCACUGGGUCCUACAAAUUAAAGCCUCCUAGUGUAGCCAAAGCACAUUCUCUUUGUUGUUGUUUUGCACUCUGUACCCAUGAAGGGUCCUGGGCUUAGUUUUUAAAGGAAUAAUUAUACUAUUUAAAUAUUAAACAUCAAAGUUCUUCUUUUGUUGUUAAAAUGAUAUUAAAGUAGGACAAAACCGAUUUGCAGUUUAUGGUAUUGCAUUCCAGAAUUGCUGGCGUUGCAGCUGAUGUCCUGUUUCAGCGAUAUUGGCACUGCCAGGAGGCUCAGAAAUGCAGACUUUAAUCAAAAACUUUGAGAUACACUUCAGUUAAAUUGCAAAUUAAUCUUUCCUUGUGAACUUCCAAGCUGUUAAAAAGAGCAAAUGGCUGCAGCUUCCUUUAAAAUAAUUCAAAAGCCUGCUUUUCAUCAGCAUAUGAUUUCAGUAUAGUGGAAGUAAAGGCUGUGUGUCGUCUUCUCACAGAUUGUUAUUUAAGCACUAUAUAUUAGCUUUCAUUGCCCUUUUGAUAUAUUUAAGCUCAUAAACUUCUCAUUGAACAGAUUAAAUUUACCAUUAUGUUGUUACUUUUUAUGAAUAGAAUAAAUCAAUAUCAGAUAUGUUGGUUUGCACUGAACUGUUUAUUUUAAGGGAUGUUUAAACUUUACUGAAAGAAAAUAGGUCUGAUGCCCAGUCCUCCACUUUAAAAUUCUUUAUUUGGUAACACUUUGAGAUACAGCCUGUCUCAACCAGCAAGUGCCACACAUAUCAUCCAGUGAUACAAGGCAAAUAAAAUUCCCUAACAUUCUUUGAAAUGUAAUAUAUUUUGCACUAUUCCCAAUAUCUAGUAUUUAAAUACUUGCAAGUUGUUUUGUUAUUGCAAUAGAAAGCUUUCAUUUCAUUAUUAGGGAAAUAUUCCAGAGUAAGACUAGUAUUUUUUUUUUUCACUGAAAAAUAUUAACUCUGUGCUGAAAAUGUCUGUCUGAUAUCUCAUAUAUAUACAUAUAUAAGAAAAUAAUAAAUUCUUUCAAAAGACACAGUCCUCAAUCAUAAAUCAAAUGCUAGCAGGUCAAUGAAAACUGCCUUCUAAAAUGUAUUGCUCAAUUCUUAAUAUUUAUGGUAGCCACAAAACUUGAAAACACCUGUUCUGCAGAGAAGUAGCUCUUUAAAAUACACUCCAGCAGCAAGAGCUCUCUCUGAAUUCAGAGUCAGAACUUUGCUUUGCAGGGGUUAAGUGAGCAGCCAUGAUUCCCAAAAAGUGAUAAAAAAUGUUUAGUUCUUUUAAUUGUGAGGAAACAGGAGCUUAUUUCACUUUAAGGCUGUAAUCCUCAAAUAGUCUGUACAAACCAGCUGACUUUGUCUACAGAUCUGAAGUGUUCAGAAAUAUCAUUGCGUUUAUUUUGUCUUUGAAUUUUUGCUUUUUUGAUUGUUUAAUGUAUGUUUAUUAUUGUUAGUCAGGUGAAGUUCCACAUAGACAAUUGCAAAAGUAUGUACAGUGGAUAUAAAAACUUGGAAAGUACUUAUAUCAGUAUAAUCAUGUAAUAACAGCCCAGACUUUGUGCUUGAUAGAGGUAUUUUGUUCAGAUGCAGUGUUGCUUCUGUAGGCAUUUCCUCACCAAUAAUAUAUGCAGUACAAUCUUUAGGAUUGUAUUAAAUAGCUAAUUAAAUGGGGUCAGCUUAAUCUUUCUUGAUGAUUAGGAAUAGGCAUCUCAUCCACUGGAAAAGCUAAUUGUUUUGGGUGGAGCAUCUUGUUCUUGUUUGAAUCAUGAUCUCUGUUUACAUUCACACAGCAUUCAUCACUUGCACCUUUUGGAAAAAAAGGGGGUGUGCCCAGAGCAGUUUUUCAAAUGCUGUAUAGAGUCUUCUCAAGACUUAGUGUUGAGGCUUUUUCUGAACUUGUGGAGCCGGACUGGAAGCUGUCUGAACACAUGGUCAUUUAUAUUUGGAUCACCUAAGUUAAGUAAUAAACAUUUUCUUAAAUAUCUUUAAAUCUUUCCAUCCCUCAGUAACACAACUUUCUUACUGCUGUCACCCAACAUAGAUUGGCUGGUCUUGCCUCUUUCCUUCUCUCUGUGCUUCUGCCCCACGUACCAUGGUUCUUUUGGCACAUCCAGCAUUUCUCUGAUUUUGCCCAUUGAUGCCACAGCAGCUGUUACUUAGUUGUGUGUGGGUAGGGUUGCCUUUGCAUUUAUUAGUCUUGUUUCAUCUGCAUGGAGAGGGUGUCAGAUGUUAUUCCUCCUGGUGUUUCUUCCUUUUUCUUUCUCUGUAGUUCACUCAAACCUUAAUUUAGUUUUGGCUUAAACAACCUGGUCUUUGACUUCUGCUGUGCAGUCUUUAUCCUGGACUCAAUUUGGUUUUCUCUGUCACCUGUGACACUUUCAAAAUAGAAGGGGUAUGUAGUUUAAAUGGACUGAACUCUAUGGCAAUUUAUAAAGCUCUUGUAACUGCCCAAGGACAAGUUAAUAGAUUAUGCUGUUUGAUUCCUCUGACUUCUUGGCACAGCUGUUUGGGGUAUAAAUCCUCACAGUAGUGAACAUUUAGUUUCCAAAUAUUUAAUGUGCUGUGCUAGGCAAAAAGCUUAUAGGACAAUGUUAAGGAAAAAAGAAAAUCGAGACACUAAAAUUGAUGUGCUUGCUCACUACAUGGUGCAGUCUUGCAGGUGAGUCCAAAAGCAGGAAAAUAGAAACAGAUUUGAAUAUUUGGGAGGAGAAGGGGAGGAGUCUGUUAGUCUUGUAAAGGGUCUGGUUAUUGUUCAAAGGAAUCUCCUUUCUUACACUGAAAUAAGGCACUGACAGCUGUCGGAAGGCAUGGUAUAGAGGAUAUACUUCCAGUACUUAAUACUUUAGGAGGUGAAAGUUCAAAACCACAACAUCUUCUGAGACUUAAAUAGUCUUUGCCUUUGAGAACACAUAAUAGCUGGACAGUUUCUAGUAUUGUUCAGUGCCAUCCACAGUGAUCUUUUCUGAUCUAGCUCCCAAAAGAAGGAAAAUAUUAAUUUUCAAAUAUAUGAACAGUAGGCAUCUCAGCACAACCUGAGGUUGUCUCCUAUCAACUAUAUAAUCUUUAUAUUCUAGAUUAAUAAACACUUCAGCCUUGGAGUUUAUUAGUCCAAAAUAUAUUUAUUACCUCAUAAAUUCAAACCCCCUCCAGUUAUCAUCUAAUUAAAUUGCAACACUGUGCAUGCUAUCUUUGGGGAUGUAUUAAUAAUGAAAUUAUCUUGUGAAACAGUAAUUACAUGCUUUGUGCAUUCUUUUCCAUACUUUUUUUUUCAGUGUCUAUGUGAUGAGUGGGGCACACAGUACUCCAUUGUUCUGAGCUCCUCCAAACUCCAUACUUAUCCAAGGAUAAGCAGGCUUAUUUUUUUCCUCUUAGAAAAAGAGAGAAAAGUUUGUGCGUUUUUGCACUUGGGAAGGGGAAGGACCAAUAUUGCUAGGCUAGGAACAGUUAUGAAGCAUGAUUGUGCAAGUAAUUUUAUAUCAUGUUUUCUCCUCACUCUUUGACUUUACUCACAGGAAUAAAAACUACUUGCAGGAUCUUUUCUGUAAGGCAGUUCUUACUGUAGUUGCCAAAAGUGAAGAUGACCACUUUAUUUGCAAGAGAAUAUUCAUUUAUAGGCCUUCACUGGUGACGUAGAAUUGAAUAAAAGGAAAAUAGUCUUAAAGCCUUCCUCGGGAGAGAGAUUUACUUGCAAUUUUUUCAGUGAUAAGUAAACUGAGACACAGAAGCCGGGUUCCUCCAAGCUGUGAAGUGAAUCGAUGCCAAGCCCAGCGUUAGACACUAGAUUAAUCCUUUCUUCCAGAAGUCGAGCUGUGCGGUUUCAGGCCAAAGAAAUGGAUUCUCAGUGAGUGAAGAUUUGGUGUCAUCCUGAAAUCAAUGGGGAAAUGCAAGGGUACAUUUGCUGUGCAUCAAGCCCACCCUGUUUUGUUGCAUGGGAUUUCUGCUCCCUCUCCCAAAUCUCAGUUUUACCAAAGGAUAAUUUUUCCUCUAGAGGGAAAACCAUACCAGCUCUUGUGCACUAAUGCCAAGCGCUGCUUUCUUUUAUUUCCUUUGAAGCACUGGAUUUCUCCUUCAGGAGGUGGUGUGACUUAAUGUCGUCUCCCUGCGCAGCGAGGUAACCGCUCUAGUGACCAAAGCAGUGUGCUGAAACUUGGGAGGGCCUUGGUGUGCCCCUCGACACCCCUGGCAGCAUGGGGCGAAUUCUCCUCGCACCGCAGUCCUCGUCUGCAGUCGCCACAGAGAAAACCAUCUGUUCCACUUGGAAAGGGGUUGGGUUCCACACGCCCUCCCCCCCGCAUCCCGGCUCCAGCCCCAGCUGCCGUGUUUCGAUGAGCACUGAGGGGAUGAGUCUCCUGUGUUAAAAAUACUCUGGUUCUAUUUGGAUAAAAAGAAGAAUCUUCCUUGCCUACACUGCCACACAAAAAUAGUCUUAGUGUGAGUAAAUCUUCAAAGUUCCUCUUGGUGAAAAUAUCUAGCCUUGCUUUUUUUUCUUUAACUUCUCAUAUAAAUUUAUUUAUAGAAUGCCCUUCUUUCCUCCUACUCUACUGCAGAAGGUUGCCACUCGUCUCGUUCAUGAGUCCUGAAAUAAGUUGCAGGGCCUUUGAAACAUCA